This 253-nucleotide ribosomal RNA is filed under the name uncultured bacterium. Its description in RNAcentral is "partial 16S ribosomal RNA". It matches the Rfam family "Bacterial small subunit ribosomal RNA", at positions 524 to 776 of the family's 1533-position model. The record is from RNAcentral.
UACGUAGGGGGCAAGCGUUGUCCGGAUUUAUUGGGCGUAAAGAGCGUGUAGGCGGCUUUACAGGUCCGUUGUGAAAACUCGAGGCUCAACCUCGAGACGCCGGUGGAAACCGUAAGGCUAGAGUCCGGAAGAGGAGAGUGGAAUUCCUGGUGUAGCGGUGAAAUGCGCUGAUAUCAGGAAGAACACCGGUGGCGAAGGCGGGUCUCUGGGCAGUAACUGACGCUGAGGAGCGAAAGCGUGGGGAGCGAACAGG